CCAUUAGGCUUAAAAGCAUUCAAUGUAAUAUUUCAAUGGACUAUGGGGUAUCCACCACAUUAUAAUAAUUAUACUCAGCACUAGUCUAGGCCCAAAAAAAAUAAAAUCAACUGCACUCACCAUUGAUGAUUUCAGAGGAGUACCUUUGCUGAUUGCCCAACUGUUGUGAAGGGUACUUUUUCAACGCUGGCCGACGGGGGCCUUCCUCAGGCUGCUGGCUAACAUCGCUAACAGUAUUCCCACAGCUCUAAUAAUCCAAUCAUAGGCGCACUAACCCAAUAACAUGAUUUUCUUCAGUCUCAUGUAAACACACUGAAUGUCUUUCUCUGUGUCUCCAGAUGCCCUCAUUUGGAAGAACAGGUUUGCUACUGCUGCUGUCUCUUGUUAUCUUCAGUGGAAUAGGCUACCUCUGGCUCCCCUCAUAUGAUAUGGUAGAGGUAGAGGACAAGAUUGAAGCCCCGAUGAAAAAGUGGUCCCCGCCCACUGGUCAAGUGAAGCCCGCAGCUUCCUGCACUUGCCCAGCGAAGUCAUAUGAUCUGGCAGGGAGCAUUCCCACUGCCAACCGAGAAGACAUUCAGAAACGACGGGCAGAGGAGUACAAGAAGCACCAGGCUAGAACAAGCUCCAUUUUGAACACACUCCUCUUUGCUCCAUCCAACUCUCCACUGCAGUAUCCCAUUCAGGGUUUCACAGUACGCCCCUUGGUUCCCACUCUUAUUCCAGGUACAGUACGCUGCACUUCAGUGGUUUAA
This 752-nucleotide long non-coding RNA is filed under the name Gadus morhua (Atlantic cod). Its description in RNAcentral is "lncRNA (ENSGMOG00000023067.1)". The record is from RNAcentral. Lineage: Eukaryota; Metazoa; Chordata; Actinopteri; Gadiformes; Gadidae.